UACGUAGGGUGCGAGCGUUAAUCGGAAUUACUGGGCGUAAAGCGUGCGCAGGCGGUUUGUUAGACAGAUGUGAAAUCCCCGGGCUUAACCUGGGAACUGCAUUUGUGACUGGCGAGCUAGAGUAUGGCAGAGGGGGGUAGAAUUCCGCGUGUAGCAGUGAAAUGCGUAGAGAUGUGGAGGAAUACCGAUGGCGAAGGCAGCCCCCUGGGCUGACACUGACGCUCAGGCACGAAAGCGUGGGGAGCAAACAGG
RNAcentral lists this ribosomal RNA (252 nucleotides) under uncultured bacterium. RNAcentral describes it as "partial 16S ribosomal RNA". It matches the Rfam family "Bacterial small subunit ribosomal RNA", at positions 524 to 776 of the family's 1533-position model. The record is from RNAcentral.